This 69-nucleotide transfer RNA is filed under the name Cnemaspis huaseesom. RNAcentral's name for it is "tRNA-Ala". It matches the Rfam family "tRNA". From Rfam's summary of the family: Transfer RNA (tRNA) molecules are approximately 80 nucleotides in length. Their secondary structure includes four short double-helical elements and three loops (D, anti-codon, and T loops). Further hydrogen bonds mediate the characteristic L-shaped molecular structure. tRNAs have two regions of fundamental functional importance: the anti-codon, which is responsible for specific mRNA codon recognition, and the 3' end, to which the tRNAs corresponding amino acid is attached (by aminoacyl-tRNA synthetases). tRNAs cope with the degeneracy of the genetic code in two manners: having more than one tRNA (with a specific anti-codon) for a particular amino acid; and 'wobble' base-pairing, i.e. permitting non-standard base-pairing at the 3rd anti-codon position. Lineage: Eukaryota; Metazoa; Chordata; Lepidosauria; Squamata; Gekkonidae. The record is from RNAcentral.
GAGGUCUUAGCUUAAUAAAAGCGUCUAAGUUGCAGUUAGGUGAUGUAAGUUAUAGUUUUGCAGGCCUUC